This 253-nucleotide ribosomal RNA is filed under the name uncultured prokaryote. Its description in RNAcentral is "partial 16S ribosomal RNA". It matches the Rfam family "Bacterial small subunit ribosomal RNA", at positions 525 to 777 of the family's 1533-position model. The record is from RNAcentral.
ACGAAGGGUGCAAGCGUUACUCGGAAUUACUGGGCGUAAAGCGUGCGUAGGUGGUUCGUUAAGUCUGAUGUGAAAGCCCUGGGCUCAACCUGGGAAUUGCAUUGGAUACUGGCGGGCUAGAGUGCGGUAGAGGAUGGCGGAAUUCCCGGUGUAGCAGUGAAAUGCGUAGAGAUCGGGAGGAACAUCUGUGGCGAAGGCGGCCAUCUGGACCAGCACUGACACUGAUGCGCGAAAGCUAGGGGAGCGAACGGGA